AUGUCAAAUCAUCAUGCCCUAUAUGUCCUGGGCAACACACGUACUACAAUGGUUGGAACAGAGGGAAGCGAAGCUGUGAAGAAGAGCGAAACCCAAAAACCAAUCGUAGUUCAGAUUGAAGGCUGAAAUUCGCCUUCAUGAAGCCGGAAUUGCUAGUAAUUGCAGGUCAGCAUACUGCAGUGAAUACGUUCCCGGGCCUU
Molecule: ribosomal RNA, 200 nt
Filed under: uncultured prokaryote
Description: partial 16S ribosomal RNA
Rfam family: Bacterial small subunit ribosomal RNA
Source: RNAcentral